Panicum virgatum (switchgrass) is the source of this 540-nucleotide long non-coding RNA. RefSeq lists it as uncharacterized. The transcript has 4 exons. NCBI's taxonomy places the organism in Eukaryota, Viridiplantae, Streptophyta, Magnoliopsida, Poales, Poaceae. The record is from RefSeq and is a predicted model, not a curated record.
UAAUGAGAUUCAUCUAAUUAAAGCAAUACUAAUUAUACUCUCUCCAUGUCAAAAUAAGUAUAGUUUUUUUCCUAUAUGAUUUUUUUGUUUGAUUUUCUUUCUGGAAGAUCACAUCUAGAUAUAAGUGUCACUAUCGAUCUGAUGACAAUUGGAUUGAAUCACUAGAGGUUCAAACAGUAACCAAGCCAUUUGCAGUAGAAGAACAGAAACAUUAUGGAUGGAAUGCUCAAGUUUUGCCAAAAAGGAGGCAUUGGUUUAGGAGGCUUGUUCAGUGGACUCAAAGGGAUACAUCAAAACCUGAAUUCAAUCUGGGACUCAUUGGUCAAGAACAAACAGUGGGUUCUCUCAAUGAAAUAUGGUUCCAAAACCCAUCCAGUGCCAAAGGGGAAAUGAAGCUUCAACUGACAGUAGGCUUUACAGUGUGAAGAAGAACAGAUCGAAGAAUACCCACACAACAGGGCGGCGGCGCGGCGGCGUGCAGUGGAGGCCGCCGACGAGGGCGUGCGCGCGGAGUGGAGGCCGGGGGCGGCGCUCGCAGGG